Molecule: transfer RNA, 74 nt
Filed under: Candidatus Amoebophilus sp. 36-38
Lineage: Bacteria; Pseudomonadati; Bacteroidota; Cytophagia; Cytophagales; Amoebophilaceae
Description: tRNA-Cys
Rfam family: tRNA
About the family: Transfer RNA (tRNA) molecules are approximately 80 nucleotides in length. Their secondary structure includes four short double-helical elements and three loops (D, anti-codon, and T loops). Further hydrogen bonds mediate the characteristic L-shaped molecular structure. tRNAs have two regions of fundamental functional importance: the anti-codon, which is responsible for specific mRNA codon recognition, and the 3' end, to which the tRNAs corresponding amino acid is attached (by aminoacyl-tRNA synthetases). tRNAs cope with the degeneracy of the genetic code in two manners: having more than one tRNA (with a specific anti-codon) for a particular amino acid; and 'wobble' base-pairing, i.e. permitting non-standard base-pairing at the 3rd anti-codon position.
Source: RNAcentral
GGUCGCGUGGCCGAGUGGCUAGGCAAGGGUCUGCAAAACCCCCUACGGUGGUUCGAAUCCACUCGCGACCUCCG